Triticum aestivum (bread wheat) is the source of this 437-nucleotide long non-coding RNA. RefSeq lists it as uncharacterized. The record is from RefSeq and is a predicted model, not a curated record. The transcript is spliced from 3 exons. Lineage: Eukaryota; Viridiplantae; Streptophyta; Magnoliopsida; Poales; Poaceae.
AACGCUGACUGGAGUACCAAACCCGAGCCGCCACCCCUUCAUCUUUGGCUUCGCUACUAAGGAAAACGCAGCUCUUCUUCCCCCGCUCCUCCACUCCAGUCCACUACUUACCAUGCGGGCAGGGCGAGCGGCACCAUUCACUUUCACUCGCCAUCCUUGAUUUCCCGUGAUUUGCAGCGAAAUUCAGUUCUCUCCCCGAUUGAUUUCCCCUGGUUAUCAUCGGACCUGAGUCUCAAACCGUAGCUCGGGCUCAUCCACGGCCGGCCUGCUAAUCCCUGUAGGAACCGAUCCAAAGAGGGGCAGUGUCAUGGAUAGUUAUAGUAAUCUACCAAUUGGAUCUUCCGGGAAGGCCUGCUAAUCCCAGUAGGAACCGAUCCAAAGAAGGGGGAGUGUCAUGGAUACUUAUAGUAAUCUACCAAUUGGAUCUUCUGGGAGGG